This 28-nucleotide small RNA is filed under the name Bombyx mori (domestic silkworm). Its description in RNAcentral is "ovarian small RNA-11601". Lineage: Eukaryota; Metazoa; Arthropoda; Insecta; Lepidoptera; Bombycidae. The record is from RNAcentral.
ACGUAGCGAUUGGUUUUGCCUUGAAAAA